UGCGUAGGCGGCUUGGUAAGUCAGAUGUGAAAUCCUGGGGCUCAACCUCGGAACUGCAUUUGAUACUGCCAGGCUAGAGUACUGGAGAGGAGACUGGAAUUUACGGUGUAGCAGUGAAAUGCGUAGAUAUCGUAAGGAAGGCCAGUGGCGAAGGCGAGUCUCUGGACAGUAACUGACGCUGAGGCACGAAGGCUAGGGGAGCAAACG
Molecule: ribosomal RNA, 207 nt
Filed under: uncultured bacterium
Lineage: Bacteria
Description: partial 16S ribosomal RNA
Rfam family: Bacterial small subunit ribosomal RNA
Source: RNAcentral